Molecule: ribosomal RNA, 497 nt
Filed under: uncultured bacterium
Lineage: Bacteria
Description: partial 16S ribosomal RNA
Rfam family: Bacterial small subunit ribosomal RNA
Source: RNAcentral
GAUGAACGCUGGCGGCGUGCCUAAUACAUGCAAGUCGAGCGAACGGACGAGAAGCUUGCUUCUCUGAUGUUAGCGGCGGACGGGUGAGUAACACGUGGAUAACCUACCUAUAAGACUGGGAUAACUUCGGGAAACCGGAGCUAAUACCGGAUGAUAUUUUGAACCGCAUGGUUCAAAAGUGAAAGACGGUCUUGCUGUCACUUAUAGAUGGAUCCGCGCUGCAUUAGCUAGUUGGUAAGGUAAUGGCUUACCAAGGCAACGAUGCAUAGCCGACCUGAGAGGGUGAUCGGCCACACUGGAACUGAGACACGGUCCAGACUCCUACGGGAGGCAGCAGUAGGGAAUCUUCCGCCAUGGGCGAAAGCCUGACGGAGCAACGCCGCGUGAGUGAUGAAGGUCUUCGGAUCGUAAAACUCUGUUAUUAGGGAAGAACAUAUGUGUAAGUGACUGUGCACAUCUUGACGGUACCUAAUCAGAAAGCCACGGCUAACUACGUG